UGGGGAAUAUUGGACAAUGGGCGAAAGCCUGAUCCAGCAAUGCCGCGUGAGUGAUGAAGGCCCUAGGGUUGUAAAGCUCUUUUACCAGGGAUGAUAAUGACAGUACCUGGAGAAUAAGCUCCGGCUAACUCCGUGCCAGCAGCCGCGGUAAUACGGAGGGAGCUAGCGUUGUUCGGAAUUACUGGGCGUAAAGCGUGCGUAGGCGGCCAUUCAAGUCAGAGGUGAAAGCCUGGAGCUCAACUCCAGAACUGCCUUUGAAACUAGAUGGCUAGAAUCUUGGAGAGGUGAGUGGAAUUCCGAGUGUAGAGGUGAAAUUCGUAGAUAUUCGGAAGAACACCAGUGGCGAAGGCGACUCACUGGCCCGGUACUGACGCUGAGGUGCGAAAGCGUGGGGAGCAAACAGGAUUAGAUACCCACGUAGUCCCUGAGCGGGCUGGCAAGGCG
RNAcentral lists this ribosomal RNA (444 nucleotides) under uncultured bacterium. RNAcentral's name for it is "bacterial SSU rRNA". It matches the Rfam family "Bacterial small subunit ribosomal RNA", at positions 355 to 822 of the family's 1533-position model. The record is from RNAcentral.